This is a non-coding RNA of Xyrichtys novacula (pearly razorfish), 2679 nucleotides long. Lineage: Eukaryota; Metazoa; Chordata; Actinopteri; Labriformes; Labridae. The record is from the annotation of a GenBank genome assembly.
GGAUGGGACUUUGGGCUCCGAGGCCGCGACCCUCACCGUCCCGCAGCAAGGCACCCUGGGAUGCAGCGGUGGAGGUCAGAUCCAGCAUAUGGCUCAGAGUGGGGGUCUCCCUCAUCGAGAAGGAUGGCGUGUGAGUGUGUGUGUGUGUGAGUGUGUAUUUGUGAAUGUGUGUGUGUGUGUGAAAGUAAAAGAGCAAAAAGAGAGAAACUGUGGAGAGGCUGAGGGUGUGAGAGAGAGAGAGAGAGAGAGAGAGAGAGGGUGAGAAAAAGAGCAAGUGUGUGUGUGUGUGUGUGUGUGUGUGUGUGUGUGUGAAAGUAAAAGAGCAAAAAGAGAGAAACUGUGGAGAGGCUGAGGGUGUGAGAGAGAGAGAGAGAGAGAGAGAGAGAGGGUGAGAAAAAGAGCAAGUGUGUGUGUGUGUGUGUGUGUGUGUGUGUGUGUGUGUGUGUGUGUGAGGGACAGCUCGUCCUUCAGGCUCACCUCACCCCCCCCACCCCCCACGGGGUCUUUCUUCUCGGCGGUGGCGGCGGCGUUUUACUGGCCCCAGCUGACGACCAUGAAAUAGAGGAAAGGACUGAAGGCAGUGAGGACAUCUCCUUCCCUUCCUUCCUCUCCUUGUUUCCUUUCCUUCCUCCAUUUUUCCCCACUCCCACAUCCUUCCUUCCUUUUUCUGCUCUUUGUCUCCACUCUGUUUGUCUUUUUGUCCCAACGGUCUUUCCAUCCAUUCCAUCUUUCCUUCCUUCCUUCCUUCCUUCCUUCCUUUCUUUCUUCCCUUAUUUCCACCCUCUGUAGCAGAUGUUGCUCCUUCCUUCCUUCCUUCCCCCUUCCUUCCUUUCCUUAUUUCCACCCUCUGAAGCAGAUGUUGCUCCUUCCUUCCUUCCUUCCUUCCUUCCUUUCCUUAUUUCCACGCUCUGAAGCAGAUGUUGCUCCUUCCUUCCUUCCUUCCUUCCUUCCUUUCCUUAUUUCCACCCUCUGAAGCAGAUGUUGCUCCUUCCUUCCUUCCUUCCUUCCUUCCUUUCCUUAUUUCCACGCUCUGAAGCAGAUGUUGCUCCUUCCUUCCUUCCUUCCUUCCUUCCUUUCCUUAUUUCCACCCUCUGAAGCAGAUGUUGCUCCUUCCUUCCUUCCUUCCUUCCUUUCCUUAUUUCCACCCUCUGUAGCAGAUGUUGCUCCUUCCUUCCUUCCUUCCUUUCCUUAUUUCCACCCUCUGUAGCAGAUGUUGCUCCUUCCUUCCUUCCUUCCUUCCUUCCCCCUUCCUUCCUUUCCUUAUUUCCACCCUCUGAAGCAGAUGUUGCUCCUUCCUUCCUUCCUUCCUUCCUUCCCUCCUUCCCUUAUUUCCACCCUCUGAAGCAGAUGUUGCUCCUUCCUUCCUUCCCCCCUUCCUUCCUUUCCUUAUUUCCUCCCUCUGUAGCAGAUGUUGCUCCUUCCUUCCUUCCUUCCUUCCUUCCCUCCUUCCCUUAUUUCCACCCUCUGAAGCAGAUGUUGCUCCUUCCUUCCUUCCUUCCUUCCCUCCUUUCCUUAUUUCCUCCCUCUGUAGCAGAUGUUGCUCCUUCCUUCCUUCCUUCCUUCCUUCCCUCCUUCCCUUAUUUCCACCCUCUGAAGCAGAUGUUGCUCCUUCCUUCCUUCCUUCCUUCCUUUCCUUAUUUCCACCCUCUGUAGCAGAUGUUGCUCCUUCCUUCCUUCCUUCCUUUCCUUAUUUCCACCCUCUGAAGCAGAUGUUGCUCCUUCCUUCCUUCCUUCCUUCCUUUCCUUAUUUCCACCCUCUGUAGCAGAUGUUGCUCCUUCCUUCCUUCCUUCCUUCCCUUAUUUCCACCCUCUGAAGCAGAUGUUGCUCCUUCCUUCCUUCCUUCCUUCCCUCCUUUCCUUAUUUCCUCCCUCUGUAGCAGAUGUUGCUCCUUCCUUCCUUCCUUCCUUCCUUCCCUCCUUCCCUUAUUUCCACCCUCUGAAGCAGAUGUUGCUCCUUCCUUCCUUCCUUCCUUUCCUUAUUUCCACCCUCUGUAGCAGAUGUUGCUCCUUCCUUCCUUCCUUCCUUCCCUUAUUUCCACCCUCUGAAGCAGAUGUUGCUCCUUCCUUCCUUCCUUCCUUCCCUCCUUUCCUUAUUUCCUCCCUCUGUAGCAGAUGUUGCUCCUUCCUUCCUUCCUUCCUUCCUUCCCUCCUUUCCUUAUUUCCACCGUCUGAAGCAGAUGUUGCUCCUUCCUUCCUUCCUUCCUUCCCUUAUUUCCACCCUCUGAAGCAGAUGUUGCUCCUCUCUUCCUUCCUUCCUUCCUUCCUUCCUUCCUUCCUUCCCUUAUUUCCACCCUCUGAAGCAGAUGUUGCUCCUUCCUUCCUUCCUUCCUUCCUUUCCUUAUUUCCUCCCUCUGUAGCAGAUGUUGCUCCUUCCUUCCUUCCUUCCUUCCUUCCCUCCUUCCCUUAUUUCCACCCUCUGAAGCAGAUGUUGCUCCUUCCUUCCUUCCUUCCUUCCUUCCUUCCUUCCUUCCUUCCUUUCCUUAUUUCCACCCUCUGAAGCAGAUGUUGCUCCUUCCUUCCUUCCUUCCUUCCUUUCCUUAUUUCCACCCUCUGUAGCAGAUGUUGCUCCUUCCUUCCUUCCUUCCUUCCUUCCUUUCCUUAUUUCCACCCUCUGUAGCAGAUGUUGCUCCUUCCUUCCUUCCUUCCUUCCUUCCUUCCCCUCCUCCUUUCCUUAUUUCC